This 26-nucleotide non-coding RNA is filed under the name Rattus norvegicus (Norway rat). Lineage: Eukaryota; Metazoa; Chordata; Mammalia; Rodentia; Muridae. The record is from RNAcentral.
UAAAAGGGAAACCACAACUACUCCAC